RNAcentral lists this ribosomal RNA (255 nucleotides) under uncultured bacterium. RNAcentral's name for it is "partial 16S ribosomal RNA". It matches the Rfam family "Bacterial small subunit ribosomal RNA", at positions 524 to 776 of the family's 1533-position model. The record is from RNAcentral.
UACGUAGGAGGCAAGCGUUGUCCGGAAUCACUGGGCGUAAAGCGCGUGUAGGUGGAAGAGGAAGUCUGCUGUGAAAGCGCCUGGCUUAACCGGGCGAGGUCGGUGGAAACUCCUCAUCUAGAGGUCGGUAGAGGGGGGUGGAAUUCCGGGUGUAGUGGUGAAAUGCGUAGAGAUCCGGAGGAACACCUGUGGCGAAGGCGGCCCCCUGGGCCCGCACCUGGACGCUGAGACGCGAAAGCGCGGGGAGCGAACGGG